RNAcentral lists this ribosomal RNA (505 nucleotides) under uncultured bacterium. RNAcentral's name for it is "partial 16S ribosomal RNA". It matches the Rfam family "Bacterial small subunit ribosomal RNA", at positions 28 to 507 of the family's 1533-position model. The record is from RNAcentral.
GACGAACGCUGGCGGCGUGCCUAAUACAUGCAAGUAGAACGCACAGUUUAUACCGUAGCUUGCUACACCAUAGACUGUGAGUUGCGAACGGGUGAGUAACGCGUAGGUAACCUGCCUGGUAGCGGGGGAUAACUAUUGGAAACGAUAGCUAAUACCGCAUAAUAUUGAUUAUUGCAUGAUAAUUGAUUGAAAGAUGCUAUUGCAUCACUACCAGAUGGACCUGCGUUGUAUUAGCUAGUAGGUGAGGUAACGGCUCACCUAGGCGACGAUACAUAGCCGACCUGAGAGGGUGAUCGGCCACACUGGGACUGAGACACGGCCCAGACUCCUACGGGAGGCAGCAGGAGGGAAUCUUCGGCAAUGGACGAAAGUCUGACCGAGUAACGCCGCGUGAGUGAAGAAGGUUUUCGGAUCGUAAAGCUCUGUUGUAAGAGAAGAACGGGUGUGAGAGUGGAAAGUUCACACUGUGACGGUAGCUUACCAGAAAGGGACGGCUAACUACGUG